RNAcentral lists this ribosomal RNA (451 nucleotides) under uncultured bacterium. RNAcentral's name for it is "bacterial SSU rRNA". It matches the Rfam family "Bacterial small subunit ribosomal RNA", at positions 28 to 477 of the family's 1533-position model. The record is from RNAcentral.
GACGAACGCUGGCGGCGUGCUUAAUACAUGCAAGUCAACUUGACUUUAGAUAGCAAUAUCGAAAGUAGGGUGGCGCACGGGUGCGUAACGCGUAGGUAAUCUGCCCUGAGGUCUGACAUAACCCGUCGAAAGGCGGGCUAACAUCAGAUGAUAUAUAAUCACGACAUCGUGGAAAUAUCAAAUCUUCGGAGCCUUGGGAUGAGCCUGCGUCUGAUUAGGUAGUUGGCGGAGUAAUAGCCCACCAAGCCUACGAUCAGUAGCUGGUCUGAGAGGAUGAUCAGCCACACUGGAACUGAGACACGGUCCAGACUCCUACGGGAGGCAGCAGUAAGGAAUAUUGCUCAAUGGGGGAAACCCUGAAGCAGCAACGCCGCGUGAAGGAUGAAAUAACUUUUGUAUGUAAACUUCUGUAAGAUGGGAAAAAAUAUUACUCCUCGGAGAAUUGAUUGUA